AUUAAGAGCAGUGCUCGGGAUGAAUGAAGAGUUUUAUAACACUCACAAGUUUCUUUUAGUUUUUGGUACAUCUCAAUAUUUUAUGAAGUCAAAAGGGAUUUGAAUCAGCGCCUAUAACAGAAAUGCCAAAGAAAUAUCCUCUUUUUUUGUCACUUUAAUGUCUAUUUUUUGUUGCAGUUUUGUGAGUGCCAUACAUUUUUUAGGAGGAGAUUCAUUGUAUAAAGUUACCACGGAUCUAAUUCAUGUUGUGUAUAUUUGAAAAUUAAAUAGAAAAAAUCCUAAAAAACAAAGAAACAUUCUUGUGGAGGUACUUGGACAAAACCGUAAAACUGGAAAGAUUCAUUACUUGGGACUGUCAAGCACCCUUCUGAAUUCUUGGCCUUUGCUAUUUUGCGUUGAAGAAGAUGAUUUAUUGAUUUUUUUCACUGGAUCAUGGUCAACCUGGUUUUAUUUUUUUCUUUUUGGCAUCAGUUUGACAAGUUUGCCCUGCCAUGGCUUCAGGAAUCCAACCCUUGCAGUGUGGAGUAGUGGUUAGGGCUCUGGACUCUUGACCGGAGGGACGUGGGCUUAAUCCCAGGUGGGGGACACUGCUGCUGUACCCUUGAGCAAGGUACUUUACCUAGAUUGCUCCAGUAAAAACCCAACUGUAUAAAUGGGCAAUUGUGUGUAUAUUGUUGUAUGUAAAUAAUGUGAUAUCUUGUAACAAUUGUAAGUCACCCUGGAUAAGGGUGUCUGCUAAGAAAUAGAUAAUGAUAAGAAUGACAUUUUGAUUUUAUUCCCAACACAAUAUAAGCACUAAUUGAUUCAUAUUUUAAAUGAUCGCU
Acipenser ruthenus (sterlet) is the source of this 824-nucleotide long non-coding RNA. RefSeq lists it as uncharacterized. Lineage: Eukaryota; Metazoa; Chordata; Actinopteri; Acipenseriformes; Acipenseridae. The record is from RefSeq and is a predicted model, not a curated record. The transcript is spliced from 3 exons.